RNAcentral lists this ribosomal RNA (485 nucleotides) under uncultured bacterium. RNAcentral describes it as "bacterial SSU rRNA". It matches the Rfam family "Bacterial small subunit ribosomal RNA", at positions 33 to 507 of the family's 1533-position model. The record is from RNAcentral.
GACGACGCUGGCGGCGUGGAUUAGGCAUGCAAGUCGAACGGUAUCAUCCUUCGGGGGUGAGAGAGUGGCGAACUGGUGAAGUAACACGUAGGUUAUCUACCCUCAAGACGGGACAACCCAGGGAAACUUGGGCUAAUACCGGAUGUGAGCAACUUUUAGUUGUUUGAAAGGUGGCGUAAGCUGUCGCUUGGGGAUGAGCCUGCGUCCUAUUAGUUAGUUGGUGAGGUAACGGCUCACCUAGGCAAUGAUAGGUAGGCGGCCUUAACGGGUGGUCGCCCACACUGGGAUUGAGAUACGGCCCAGACUCCUACGGGAGGCAGCAGUCGAGAAUAGUCUACAAUGGUCGGAAGACUGAUAGUGCGACGCCGCGUGAACGAAGAAGCCCUUCGGGGUGUAAAGUUCUUUUAUAUGUGAGCAGUGCUUUCUAUGUGAACAGCAUGGGGAGAGAGAUAUUAGCAUAUGAAUAAGCAACGGCUAACUCCGUG